RNAcentral lists this ribosomal RNA (264 nucleotides) under Sagra femorata. RNAcentral describes it as "partial 28S ribosomal RNA". It matches the Rfam family "Eukaryotic large subunit ribosomal RNA", at positions 204 to 468 of the family's 3401-position model. The record is from RNAcentral. Lineage: Eukaryota; Metazoa; Arthropoda; Insecta; Coleoptera; Chrysomelidae.
CAUAGAGGGUGCCAGGCCCGUAGCGGCCGCUGCCGAUGGCGGGAGGAUCUCUCCUCAGAGUCGGGUUGCUUGAGAGUGCAGCCCCAAGUGGGUGGUAAACUCCAUCUAAGGCUAAAUAUGACCACGAGACCGAUAGCGAACAAGUACCGUGAGGGAAAGUUGAAAAGCACUUUGAAGAGAGAGUUCAAGAGUACGUGAAACCGUUCAGGGGUAAACCUGAGAAACCCGAAAUGUCGAAAGGGGAAAUUCAUUCGCGUUUCGGUC